RNAcentral lists this ribosomal RNA (747 nucleotides) under uncultured bacterium. RNAcentral's name for it is "bacterial SSU rRNA". It matches the Rfam family "Bacterial small subunit ribosomal RNA", at positions 28 to 776 of the family's 1533-position model. The record is from RNAcentral.
GAUGAACGCUGGCGGCGUGCUUAACACAUGCAAGUCGAGCGAGAAGUUUUGAAAAGAUUCUUCGGAUGAAAUUUAAAAUGGAAAGCGGCGGACGGGUGAGUAACGCGUAGGCAACCUGCCCCAUACAAAGGGAUAGCAUUUGGAAACGAAUAUUAAUACCUUAUGAAACUUAACUAGUGCAUGCUAGGUAGGUCAAAGAUUUAUCGGUAUGGGAUGGGCCUGCGUCUGAUUAGCUAGUUGGUGAGGUAACGGCUCACCAAGGCGACGAUCAGUAGCCGACCUGAGAGGGUGAACGGCCACAUUGGAACUGAGACACGGUCCAAACUCCUACGGGAGGCAGCAGUGGGGAAUAUUGCACAAUGGGGGAAACCCUGAUGCAGCAACGCCGCGUGAACGAUGAAGGCCUUUGGGUCGUAAAGUUCUGUUCUAGGUGAUGAAAACUGACAGUAACCUAGGAGAAAGCCCCGGCUAACUCCGUGCCAGCAGCCGCGGUAAUACGGAGGGGGCAAGCGUUAUCCGGAAUUAUUGGGCGUAAAGGGUACGUAGGUGGCCUUUUAAGCGUAGGGUAUAAGGCAAUGGCUCAACCAUUGUUCGCCCUAUGAACUGGAAGGCUUGAGUGCAGGAGAGGAAAGCGGAAUUCCUAGUGUAGCGGUGGAAUGCAUAGAUAUUAGGAGGAACAUCAGCGGCGAAGGCGGCUUUCUGGACUGCAACUGACACUGAGGCACGAAAGCGUGGGGAGCAAACAGG